This 77-nucleotide transfer RNA is filed under the name Salinarimonas ramus. Its description in RNAcentral is "tRNA-Arg". It matches the Rfam family "tRNA". From Rfam's summary of the family: Transfer RNA (tRNA) molecules are approximately 80 nucleotides in length. Their secondary structure includes four short double-helical elements and three loops (D, anti-codon, and T loops). Lineage: Bacteria; Pseudomonadati; Pseudomonadota; Alphaproteobacteria; Hyphomicrobiales; Salinarimonadaceae. The record is from RNAcentral. RNAcentral also lists the same sequence under 1 other name.
GCGCCCGUAGCUCAGCUGGAUAGAGCGUUGGAUUCCGAUUCCAAAGGUCAGAGGUUCGAAUCCUCUCGGGCGCGCCA